This 814-nucleotide long non-coding RNA is filed under the name Felis catus (domestic cat). RNAcentral describes it as "lncRNA (ENSFCAG00000044169.2)". The record is from RNAcentral. Lineage: Eukaryota; Metazoa; Chordata; Mammalia; Carnivora; Felidae.
GAAAGAACCAAGGGAAAUCAACAGGCCAAACAUUUCUUGGUGGUCCUGGACCAGUAGGAAUUAUUUUCUCACCACCUAGAGUGCAAACAGAUCAUAAAAUACAGGGUAGCACAUAGAGUACUUAGCUAGGUAUUCCUGGUGGGGAGGCAGGGUCUUCUCUGUGCCUGCUGUGGCCCUCUACAUUUUCUUGGAUGUCCCAAUCAAGGCCCUGGCCACUCCUUUAUCUGGGCCAUUUGUCAUAGUUGGUCACACAGUGAGUUACUUGGAGAGAUAAGGUAACACAUCAGAAUUUCUUUCUGCUUGUAUACAGCUCAGUGCUUUUGCAGCUGCUACACAAACCUACUGUGCGUGUCACAAUUCAUUUGGGCACAUCAUGUGACUGCAAAGGGCAUGAGAGCUAUCCCAGGUCCACCCAGGUAAAUAUGCUGAUGUUCAUGCUUGCUGUGUCAGGAAAUAAUGCAGAUCCUUUACUCCUUAACCAGGGACAGACGAGUGCUGCCAUACCCCACAACUAGAAGCAUCAUGCUGGUGCCGCUGCUGUCAGAUGUUCUGCCUGUAACUGAGAUGUAUGGUGUGCAGCUCUUACUGAUACCUAAGGGCAUUUUCAAAGUAACCAUGCAAAACACAAUCAUCAAAAACAACUGGCAUCCCAAAUGCAGAAGACUGUGUCUGUAUAAGGACCUGUUCUAAGCACCUACAUACCGCCUUUGAGGAGCAGUUUUCUCUGGUCAUGAUACUUCUGCUGUAAUAUUGCAAUAUUCGGCAUUGUCUAGAGAGCUCUUCAUAACAGCAGCCACUUACUUCAUUAUUUUAC